This 33-nucleotide ribosomal RNA is filed under the name Roldana sessilifolia. RNAcentral's name for it is "partial 26S ribosomal RNA". Lineage: Eukaryota; Viridiplantae; Streptophyta; Magnoliopsida; Asterales; Asteraceae. The record is from RNAcentral.
CCCGCUGAGUUUAAGCAUAUCAAUAAGCGGAGG